Molecule: ribosomal RNA, 723 nt
Filed under: bacterium Sed14
Lineage: Bacteria
Description: bacterial SSU rRNA
Rfam family: Bacterial small subunit ribosomal RNA
Source: RNAcentral
CGAACGAUGAAGCCCAGCUUGCUGGGUGGAUUAGUGGCGAAACGGGUGCGUACUACGUGGGUGAUCUGCCCUGCACUUUCGGGAUAAGCCCGGGAAAACUGGGUCUAAUACCGGAUAGGACCUCGGGAUUGCAUGUUCCGGGGCGGAAAGGUUUUUCCGGUGCAGGAUGGGCCCGCGGCCUAUCAGCUUGUUGGUGGGGUAACGGCCCACCAAGGCGACGACGGGUAGCCGGCCUGAGAGGGCGACCGGCCACACUGGGACUGAGACACGGCCCAGACUCCUACGGGAGGCAGCAGUGGGGAAUAUUGCACAAUGGGCGCAAGCCUGAUGCAGCGACGCCGCGUGAGGGAUGACGGCCUUCGGGUUGUAAACCUCUUUCAGUACCGACGAAGCGCAAGUGACGGUAGGUACAGAAGAAGCACCGGCCAACUACGUGCCAGCAGCCGCGGUAAUACGUAGGGUGCGAGCGUUGUCCGGAAUUACUGGGCGUAAAGAGCUCGUAGGCGGUUUGUCGCGUCGUCUGUGAAAACCCGCAGCUCAACUGCGGGCUUGCAGGCGAUACGGGCAGACUUGAGUACUGCAGGGGAGACUGGAAUUCCUGGUGUAGCGGUGAAAUGCGCAGAUAUCAGGAGGAACACCGGUGGCGAAGGCGGGUCUCUGGGCAGUAACUGACGCUGAGGAGCGAAAGCGUGGGUAGCGAACAGGAUUAGAUACCCUGGUAGU